GUGCCCUAUUAAGGUUGCUGCAGCACUUUAAGAGGUUAACACCGAAGGGUAAAGCAGUCUCCAUGAAACCCAGAGAUGAGGUCGGUAGAACUCCUAUUUGGAUCAAACAACCAAACUU
Molecule: small nucleolar RNA, 118 nt
Filed under: Echinops telfairi (small Madagascar hedgehog)
Lineage: Eukaryota; Metazoa; Chordata; Mammalia; Afrosoricida; Tenrecidae
Description: Small nucleolar RNA SNORA26 (ENSETEG00000026059.1)
Rfam family: Small nucleolar RNA SNORA26
About the family: The snoRNA HBI-6 belong to the H/ACA family of snoRNAs, guiding the pseudouridylation of position U4522 if the 28S rRNA.
Source: RNAcentral